RNAcentral lists this non-coding RNA (26 nucleotides) under Bombyx mori (domestic silkworm). Lineage: Eukaryota; Metazoa; Arthropoda; Insecta; Lepidoptera; Bombycidae. The record is from RNAcentral.
UGUCUUAAUAGUCGACCGCUGUGCAC